Long non-coding RNA from Cucumis melo (muskmelon), 246 nucleotides. RefSeq lists it as uncharacterized. The transcript is spliced from 3 exons. The record is from RefSeq and is a predicted model, not a curated record. Lineage: Eukaryota; Viridiplantae; Streptophyta; Magnoliopsida; Cucurbitales; Cucurbitaceae.
GGUAGUAAGGAGUUGACGCUUAAGUUCUCGGGUCCCGCGGCAGGCUUGUUUGGAGGUAGUCCUCCUUUCCUUGGGUUGAUCCGUUGAGCGUGGAUUCGAUCGAGGGGCAUAACCGAGUAUCAGGUAGGGGUACAGCGAGGGGCAGACCGACGAGAGGCAGGAAGGACGCGUGAAGGCCAUAUGGACGCGUCUGGUUUUCUUAUCGCUUCCGCUAUGUAUUUUGUCAGAAUAUUUUGACUUGUGAUU